CAGUCGCCGCGGUAAUACGAAGGGGGCUAGCGUUGCUCGGAAUUACUGGGCGUAAAGGGAGCGUAGGCGGACAUUUAAGUCAGGGGUGAAAUCCCGGGGCUCAACCUCGGAAUUGCCUUUGAUACUGGGUGUCUUGAGUAUGAGAGAGGUAUGUGGAACUCCGAGUGUAGAGGUGAAAUUCGUAGAUAUUCGGAAGAACACCAGUGGCGAAGGCGACAUACUGGCUCAUUACUGACGCUGAGGCUCGAAAGCGUGGGGAGCAAACAGGAUUAGAUACCCCUGUAGUCCCUGUCUCUUAUAC
This 301-nucleotide ribosomal RNA is filed under the name uncultured bacterium. RNAcentral's name for it is "partial 16S ribosomal RNA". It matches the Rfam family "Bacterial small subunit ribosomal RNA", at positions 509 to 807 of the family's 1533-position model. The record is from RNAcentral.